This 69-nucleotide microRNA precursor is filed under the name Jaculus jaculus (lesser Egyptian jerboa). RNAcentral describes it as "miRNA (ENSJJAG00000000789.1)". The record is from RNAcentral. Lineage: Eukaryota; Metazoa; Chordata; Mammalia; Rodentia; Dipodidae.
GAGCCUCGCUGGAGGAGGUGUGUCACUGGUGACAGGCUUUGAGGUUUAUCAGCCCAGCCCUACUGAGUG